Molecule: ribosomal RNA, 481 nt
Filed under: Salmonella enterica subsp. enterica serovar Typhimurium
Lineage: Bacteria; Pseudomonadati; Pseudomonadota; Gammaproteobacteria; Enterobacterales; Enterobacteriaceae
Description: partial 23S ribosomal RNA
Rfam family: Bacterial large subunit ribosomal RNA
Source: RNAcentral
AUAAGGUUAAGUUAAUAAGGGCGCACGGUGGAUGCCUUGGCACUAGAAGCCGAUGAAGGACGUGACUAACGACGAAAUGCUUUGGGGAGUUGUAAGUAAACAUUGAUCCAGAGAUGUCCGAAUGGGGGAACCCGGCAUGUAAUGCAUGUCACUCAUUACUGUUAAGGUAAUGAAGAGGAAGACGCAGUGAACUGAAACAUCUAAGUAGCUGCAGGAAGAGAAAGCAAACGCGAUUGCCUUAGUAGCGGCGAGCGAAAUGGCAAGAGGGCAAACCGAUGUGUUUACACAUCGGGGUUGUAGGACUGCGACGUGGGACGACAAGAUUAUAGAAGAAUUACCUGGGAAGGUAAGCCAAAGAGAGUAACAGCCUCGUAUUCGAAAUAGUCUUUAACCCUAGCAGUAUCCUGAGUACGGCGAGACACGAGAAAUCUCGUCGGAAUCUGGGAGGACCAUCUCCUAACCCUAAAUACUCUCUAGUGAC